This 250-nucleotide ribosomal RNA is filed under the name uncultured bacterium. RNAcentral describes it as "partial 16S ribosomal RNA". It matches the Rfam family "Bacterial small subunit ribosomal RNA", at positions 505 to 754 of the family's 1533-position model. The record is from RNAcentral.
GUGCCAGCAGCCGCGGUAAGACGGAGGGAGCUAGCGUUACUCGGAAUCACUGGGCGUAAAGGGCGUGUAGGCGGAUUAGAAAGUCGGGCGUGAAAUACCUCGGCUCAACCGAGGAAUUGCGUCCGAAACUUCUUGUCUUGAGUGUGGAAGGGGAGAGUGGAACUCCUGGUGGAGCGGUGAAAUGCGUAGAUAUCAGGAGGAACGCCGGUGGCGAAAGCGGCUCUCUGGUCCACUACUGACGCUGAGGCGC